This is an RNA transcript of Prionailurus viverrinus (fishing cat), 7945 nucleotides long. It is a transcript of the gene named sorting nexin family member 30, with no coding region annotated. The transcript is spliced from 10 exons. The record is from RefSeq and is a predicted model, not a curated record. NCBI's taxonomy places the organism in Eukaryota, Metazoa, Chordata, Mammalia, Carnivora, Felidae.
GCGGCGUGGCGGAGCUGGCUGGGCGCCCCCGGCCAAGGUGCGAGCGAACCGCGGCGGGCUCGGGCGCGGAGCGGGGGCGCGCGGCGCGGAGCAGCCCAGCCCAGCGCAGCCGGGCCCGGAGCCUCGCGGGUAGACACGAGCCGGCGGGCGGCGGCGGCGGCGGGGGUGGUUCUCAGCCCGGCCGGUGCAGGGCCUCCGACCGACCGCGGCCGAGCGGGGCCUGGCCGCGGGCGCCGGGGAAGCCCGCCGCGGCGGGCACAGGAGGAAGCGGCGGCGGCGCGUCCCGAGCCGUGCGCGCCAUGUCGGGCGGGCCCCCCAAGGGCCUGCCGUCCACCGGGCCCCACUCCCUGCUCGACAUGCCGCACCCGCUGGCCGGCUCCAGCAGCGAGGAGGCCGUGGGCGGCGACAGCACGCCCAGCCCGGACCUGCUGAUGGCCCGCAGCUUCGGCGACAAGGAUCUCAUUUUGCCCAACGGUGGUACCCCAGCAGGUACUUCGAGUCCAGCUUCUUCAUCUUCCCUUCUCAACAGACUUCAGCUUGAUGAUGACAUUGAUGGUGAGACCAGAGAUCUCUUUGUCACAGUUGAUGACCCCAAGAAGCAUGUCUGUACCAUGGAGACCUACAUUACGUAUAGGAUCACCACCAAAAGUACACGGGUAGAGUUUGACCUGCCAGAAUAUUCUGUUCGUCGAAGAUACCAGGAUUUUGACUGGCUGAGGAACAAACUGGAGGAAUCCCAGCCGACUCAUCUCAUUCCCCCGCUUCCUGAGAAGUUUGUGGUGAAGGGUGUUGUAGAUCGUUUUUCAGAAGAGUUUGUGGAGACCAGAAGAAAAGCUUUGGAUAAAUUCCUAAAAAGAAUUACAGAUCAUCCUGUGCUCUCUUUCAAUGAACACUUUAAUGUUUUCCUUACUGCUAAGGACCUGAACGCCUACAAGAGGCAGGGGAUGGCAUUGCUGUCUAGAGUGGGCGAGUCCGUCAAGCACGUCACCGGAGGCUACAAGCUGAGGAGUCGACCUCUGGAGUUUGCAGCCAUAGGCGACUACUUAGAUACCUUUGCACUCAAACUGGGAACCAUUGAUCGAAUAGCCCAGCGGAUCAUCAAAGAAGAAAUAGAGUACCUUGUAGAGCUGAGAGAAUAUGGGCCUGUGUACUCCACGUGGAGUGCGUUAGAAGGGGAGCUAGCUGAGCCCCUGGAGGGUGUCUCAGCUUGCAUUGGCAACUGCUCGACGGCCUUGGAAGAGCUAACGGAUGACAUGACAGAAGACUUUUUACCUGUGCUCAGGGAAUAUAUUUUAUACUCUGACUCUAUGAAGAGCGUACUGAAGAAGAGGGACCAAGUGCAAGCAGAGUACGAAGCCAAACUAGAAGCUGUGGCCCUGAGGAAGGAAGACCGCCCCAAGGUGCCGGCAGAUGUUGAGAAAUGUCAGGAUCGGAUGGAGUGUUUCAACGCUGAUCUGAAAGCCGACAUGGAGCGGUGGCAGAGCAACAAGAGGCAGGACUUCCGGCAGCUGCUCAUGGGAAUGGCCGACAAGAACAUCCAAUACUACGAGAAGAGUCACCAAGGAAGGAUGCAUGGAGUAAUUUUACCACUCCGCUCCCCAACUUGACCAAAGGAUGCCUCUCUCCUCCUACCUGCUCAGAACUCCUUCCCAAAUGACUCAGCACAAAGACCUGCUUCACCCCGAGCUCCUUCUACACAAGUGCCUCAUGGCAUGGGAGUCGAUUAUUCCACUACUACAGGAGAAACCAGAGGCCAAGUAAGUUCCUUCUUGGGACCGAGACUCUUCUACCUACACAGGGCAUGGCACCCCACACCAGGACGUCCCUGUAGUGCCAGAGAGGUGGCACUGAGAAAACAGCCACAGAAUCAUCUCUCCUUUGUGUAUUUCUCUCCCUUCCUGCCCCCCACCCACCUUUGUCUGACAGUGGUUCUCCAUUAGUAUUUAUUCCUUGGUGGAGUCUGUAAGGCUAUAAUCAUCUCUCAGCGAAAGAAGCAUACCUCCGUGUUGUGAAGGAGCCCAUUAAAUCUGGAACACUAAGAUCUGCAGCUGAGGGACGAGACAACCCAGCUGACGUUCUGACAUCUCAUUACAGUCUCCUGUUUGGGGACAGCACGGUUGCCUGCGGUGGAAGAGAGCCCGGUUCUUGCUUUUCCAGGACACGAAGAAGGCGGGCACAGAGGGCAGUCUCGUUUUCCACAGACACACGGGGACUCUGGAAUUGACCUGUGUGGGCAUCGACUUGUCUCAGCCUAGAAGGGGGUGUUGGCACCUCCACGGAAAGUCCUUAAUGUACAGUGGCCUAUAGCUGUGAGUGUGGCCUGCUGCCUGCUUGUGACGAGUGGCACCUCUUUUGUGGCUUCUGGUUCACAUAGAACCAUUUAUAUCAGCGUCUGUAUGCGUCCGUGCCCAAAUGAGCAAGCCAGUGUCCUUGUCCUCGUGCGAUACCUCGGGGAGCCGAGGGGGCAGUGCUCCCCAAACUUGUUUCUGACACUAGAAUGCAGUAGAUUGGAAACUGUUUUUUGUGUAAAAUGGGGGGGGGGGGGCAUUUUUCUCUGUGAAGUUCUUCAGUGUUUUUCUUUUGCUUGUUCAGUGUCGUCAGAGUAGAGCUGAGGCCCGUGGUGGGAAGUCCGUGUUGUCUGAGGUCAGAGUAGCUCCCAGUAACUGGGGUCAGUGGGCGUACACUAGGCCCCAUCUCCACGUCUGCUCUGUGCCGUCUGCCUUUACCUCACCCAGAACUCCUAAUUUAGUGUCUCCUACCACGUCCACGGAGUGUUUGGGCGGCCUUUUGUUGAGAGGCUGGUGUGCUGUAGUGACACAGUGGAGGUUCUGGGAACUCCAUGUGCAUGUUCCAUAUGAAGUGCUUUAACCUUCGAUAGUCCCUGGUCGGAAAGAAAAGUCGGUACCUGGACGGGCCUCGAAGAUGACAAGUACUAACAGCGAGCCCUUUGCUUCUCGAUAAGCUAAAACCUCUUCAACUUGCAGCCACGUUCCCCAGUGACCACUGGCUGCAUCUCAAGUCUUCAAACCGACACGAAACCGACGAAGAGGAUCUAUCUUCCAACUCCUUUUCUUUCCUCCUGAAGUGAAGCUACCUAUGCCACGUUUGCGCUCUCCCGUCUGUGGCUCAUCUCCCCGUAAAAUGAUCAACCUGAGCCUCAAAGAGGCAGUUAGUGUUCUUGUCGCGACGCAGCCGGGCCGAGGCGCUGGCGCACACGCGGGUCGUAACCCGCAGGUACCCGGCCGCGUGCAGUGUGUCGAGGUUCCUCCACCCCCUCGCGCCCGCGGCGUUGACCUCGGGUGGCCACUGCCGUGAUGCCAGGGGUGCAGCAGUAGGCCAGCGCAGAACAGUUCGGCUCUGUUUCAUUCAUGUUUUGAGGAAGUCACGGUUUCAGUUAGAACUUUUGUAUCCGUCGGUACUUGCCUGCACCGUCAGACCCCCUCACGCCGUUCUCAAAUCCUGCGAUGUGAAUUUUUGUUUGGUACAAUUAGAAGUGAUUCAUCGAAGCAGAAGGGUAAGGACAGGCCAUCUAGCCCGAGUGGUGAGUCCGUGUUUCAUGCUACCUCUAAGCCAUCACGUUGGUGCGGGUAUGGAUGAUGGACGUCUGGGUCCAAGCUGACAGCUUGCUGGUAGAACAGGGUGUAUAUCCAAUAACGGGUUGACGGCCCUCUCUUGAUAUUUCGUGGAAGGCACUAGACUGACCCAGCAGCGAGCGCUCAUCUCCAGGAACGUGCGAAGCCUUGCCUUGUGGAAUGCGUGCUUUAAAAACGUUGUCCGGUGUCAUGAGUGCUUGGAAAGAAUCGUGGAAAGAGUUGAUGGGAAGACCGGGAUCUCAUCUGCCGCUAGUUGCCAAAGCCCAGGAGCAUUCCCGUGGAAAGUUUAGUUGGAAAAGAAGGCAACCCUUCAAAACAGUCAUGGGGCUCCUCUCUGGGACAUACGGGAAGGGAGUGGAGGGGGGACGCAGUCGUUCCUUACGUUAUUGGAGGCAGAAGACUAGCUCGGAGGGGACUCGGGCAUCUUGCGGCUUGUCUUUCUCCAUUUGUUUGCCAUGUGAUGUUUCUGUGCUUUAAGACACCAGGGAGAGCUGGGACACUGACGCCAGAGCUGGGAGAACCAGAAUAUGUUCCAGGCUCCCCUGGAGAAAUGGUCUUGCCCGAGAAGGGACGCUUGCCCCUUCCUUCAGGCUGGCGGCAGAUGAGGUGAGGAGGCCCAGGAAGAAGGGAUGGUAGGCAGUGAAGGAGGCUCCCCAGGCCUCCCCGACCCCCAUGGCUCGUCCAGCCUCUGCGGGUCAGGAGUCCCAGGCAUUUGCCCUUUCAUCUCUGUGAGCAUGAAGGGGAUUCCCUGUGAGAAGUGUGACCGGAGACUUCUGUGCCAAAGACUGCCUCGUAGAGGCUUCGUCACCCCGUCCUUCUUGGCUCCACAAAGUCGUGGUGCUGAGAUCACUGCCUCCUCUCUCAUAGUUGUGUCCCAAGAGGCUUUUGCUUGGGGACAUGCUUGACCUCAGGCAGACAGACUUGGACAGGUUUUGAGUCUUGGGCACAUGGCAGCAGAAUGCAGAGUGACGCCUGUCAACUGCCUCUCGGGUGCGGGAAGUGAAGGGUUCAUUCACCCAGGUUAAAAAUCCAGGCUAAGGCAGAAGAGGAGAGAAUUCCUAGAAACUGAGCAGAUUUUAGAGAUGCACUUGAUGCUGAAGGGAGCACUUGUGCUUUGUGGCAGAUACGGACACUGCGGUCUUCCUUGUCAUGUGGUGGAUCCACAAGGGGAUUCUAGGCUACUCUGCCCAAAGCCAAAAAACCUCUGUUCUUCCUGAAGGAGGAGGGAACACGUUUCACAGCCAGGUUUGGGGUUGGGUUUUGUCCUUUAAUAAGACUUACUAAUGAUUCCCAGUGACCUCAGAUAAGUGCAAUUAUGGAGAUGAUUGGCUCGUAUUUCACUGUGCUGCUCGUUGAACUCACCAGUCACCUUCCUUUAGGUGAAACAACAAAAGCCAGUAGGACUCCGGGGGUCGUGGUGAAUGUAACGUUAAGUUUGUCUUCAUGCCAAAUUUCAGCCACACCUGGAGCGUGUUCUACAUGUUGUCGAAUUAAAUGUCUUACCAGUCGCCAUCCACAUGAGGGAUUCUCAUUUCUCGUGAGGCCACCUUUGUUUUGAAGUGACAGGAAGUCCUGCUUUAGAGGAGGGCACGGUGACCUGACUGCCUGUCUGCAAGUGGAGUGUGUCUCUUGGGCCGGUAGGUGUCAGCCUGGGACACACCCAGGGUCCGAGUGACUUGGCCCUGCCGUCAAGAGCAUUGACAUUGCGGGCCCCUGGCUUUGUUUUCAUGCCAUUCAUUACACUGCAGAGUAGUCCUUCUCUACCCUCUGCCCUGAGACAGGCAGGAGAGAGACAUCGCCACAGCCUCCCGGGCCCAUGUGGGCGUCGUCUGUUUGGAUGUCGGGAUGGGGUGACCUGGCCUCUCCUCGGGCUGCGCUGAAGGGUGCUCCCGCUCACGAGAGGCUGCCUGUGUUCAGGGCAGGGCACAGCAAGCCUGCGGCCCACCUUCCCGGAUGCCUACUCUCAAAGGCCCGUGGAAACUGAGUAAUCUAAUUGUCAGGCUGGAGUAACACUGCAGUCCAUCCCCAUUUACAAAACAUUUUGGGAAUUUGGCUUUGCCUUCUCACUUUCAAGAUGGCAACAGAUUGGACAUGGCCUCUUAUGUUUUCUCCAUUCAGAUGGCAGGUGGCAUUUAUCAGUAAAUUCGAGUAAAAUGUCAUGAUGCCCUGGGUCAGACUGACCUAUCAAGCUGGGUGUGUUGGAGUUGUUCUCUGCUUCCUCAUGGGUUGUUUUUUUUUUUUUUUUUGUUUGUUUUUUUUUUAUUUAGUGCAUAAACCAGGAACCUGAUUUUUCAUCAGCCCACCCAAUAGGUGGUUAGCUUUCUGCUUUAAGCAUGUCUGGCCUCCCUACAGUCGCCUGGAUGAGAGUGUGCACAGAGCUAUCUGCGUUAGGAAAGGUGGAGGAAAGGCCUUUGUCACGGGGAGUUUGAUCGUUGUUUCUUAAUCGUAUGUUUGAAUUGCAUUCCGGGUCUGGCUGUCUAACCCUUUCUAUGUGGCAGAAAAAUAUGUUCUUCAGGCAGUUUUUACUACUAUAGAUAGCCUGUAAAUAAGUACUUUGGAAAAAAAUAACAAACCAGUAAGAUAUUUGUCUUAUAUAGAAACAUUCUGUGUGUUUAGCACUUGAAAAUCAACAAAUCCAGACUUUUAAAAUUACCACAGACUGUUGAAAGCCUAACUCUACUUUUUGAGAAUUGUCAACACCUACUAAUAUGCCUUAUUCUUCAACUAGUGUGUUUUAGAUUCUGGAUAGAAAGAAUUUUUUAGAAACAUAAUCAGUUGUUCAGCUUAAAUGCUAGAGGUCUAACAUAGCCAGUCCUCAGCCCUCUUAAAGAAAUAAGAAAGUGAGGUUCAUAAUUAGGGCUGCCUUUUGGGAAGAGAAAGCUAAGUAUUGCUAUUGCCAAAUGAUAUUUUUGAUAAUGUAAGGAAACACAGGGACCACUGAACCGUGUGUGUGUGUGUGUGUGUGUGUGUGUGUGUGUGUUAAAGUGUGAAAGAUUAACUUAGUGCCUUUUGGCACACUCUCGAUUGUAGAGGAUAUAUGGUAUCAGCAUUGACAAAUCACGUAGAUACAGAGAACUCUAGAUGAUGACAAUAUUAAUGGUGUACCCCGAUUCUGCGGAACAGUUUUUUAAAAGAUAACUGGGGGCGGGGUGGGGGGGAUCAGAGCAGCGUGUGUCAGAUAGAAAUUCUCCACAGGUUGAAAUGCCAAAAACCUAAAACCCAUUGAUUCUUUAGUCCAUUUUAAUAGAGCUUUUACUAUUAAAACCAGUGACGGAGUAUUGCAACACGCAUGUCCCUGGCAAUGCCACCCCCUCACCAGGUGAUUCUGGGCUUCCUGCAUGCCAGGUCAGAGCAGGUCACACCUGUCCCCACCCCUGAGUAACAGGUUGUUCACAGUCUCAGACCAACCCUUCAGUCUCGAUGGUACCGGAAGGAGAAAAGGGGGGUGGCUUUUUUCUGCAGUGUGGGAACGGGGAGGGGAAAGCAGAUUGCCAACAAGAUGAGAAUCUGUAUGACAAAAAGACACCUGUGUCAGCUGGGCCUUCGUCAGACAACAAACCAGCAGCUGUUAGCAGUCAGCACCACCACCUGGACACCCCUGAGGUCUGGUCCUGUCCCGUAGGCACCCCAACCAUUGUACUUCCGUGUGCCUGAUUCCUCGAUGUCCGCGCAUUGGGAAUGCAUUGAGAGAUGAUGUACAUCUGAUAUAUUUCCAUAAAAUAAACUGCCAGCAACCUUUCUAACUUGUAUUUUAACUGUUGAAAAAGAGAUUCAAAACUUUUGCUUAGGUCAUGUCCAAAGUGUGGACUGUAUUUCUUAUUUUUAGAGGUCAUUCUUCACAUUUAAAAUUUUAGAAGAACCCCUCCCCCCGCCCAAGGUAUUGAUGAAGUCCUCCCUCCGUGUAAAUGUGUUCUCUUCUCUCCAUGCUGCCAAUAAGCCAAAUCAGAAGCUGUGAAAAAAAAAAAAAAAUGUGCUCAAGAAUGUGUGUGGACGAGAAAGUGAUUUAUUCCCAGGUCAAAGUCUCUGUUUCAUGAAGCUACCAAACUUUAAAAAGAAUGUCACCUUUUUCUUUCUUUCUUUGUUAUGGAACCCAGAGAUUGUAAAAAGAAAAAAAAAGUUUUGUUGCAUUUUUUGAUGCUGGCACGAGGUUUUUGUCCACUUUUUUUCAUAUAUCUGUGUAUUAAAAAAACUGUCCAUUGUUUACUAUGAAAUUAGUAUUACAUUUUGAGGUAAACAAAAGAAUUUGUAUUGCUUGUUAACUAUUAGCUUGUAAAUUUAAAAGGUUUCUUUACCUCAAUUAACUUAAAGUAAUGGACCAAUAAACCUACGAAUGAUGCUUUCUUUACCUUGAA